UACGUAGGGGGCAAGCGUUGUCCGGAAUCAUUGGGCGUAAAGAGCGUGUAGGCGGCCCGGUAAGUCCGCUGUGAAAGUCCAGGGCUCAACCCUGGGAUGCCGGUGGAUACUGUCGGGCUCGAGUCCGGAAGAGGAGUGUGGAAUUCCUGGUGUAGCGGUGAAAUGCGCAGAUAUCAGGAGGAACACCAAUGGCGGAGGCAGCACUCUGGGACGUGACUGACGCUGAGACGCGAGAGCGUGGGGAGCAAACAGG
RNAcentral lists this ribosomal RNA (253 nucleotides) under uncultured bacterium. RNAcentral describes it as "partial 16S ribosomal RNA". It matches the Rfam family "Bacterial small subunit ribosomal RNA", at positions 524 to 776 of the family's 1533-position model. The record is from RNAcentral.